GCGUGGGUCGGCCCGUUCGCGUUGAUCGGCGGGUCGGGGGAUGCCGCCGCCUCAAUCCCCGCGGGUGGCGGAACGGUCCGGGGGGCGGAUCCCGUCUCCCGGACCGCA
RNAcentral lists this non-coding RNA (108 nucleotides) under Streptomyces sp. Mg1. RNAcentral's name for it is "Streptomyces RNA 4115". It matches the Rfam family "Streptomyces RNA 4115". From Rfam's summary of the family: Identified by deep sequencing of transcriptome at the end of exponential growth phase. Sequencing size consistent with notrthern blot size. The record is from Rfam by way of RNAcentral. Lineage: Bacteria; Bacillati; Actinomycetota; Actinomycetes; Kitasatosporales; Streptomycetaceae.